Molecule: ribosomal RNA, 229 nt
Filed under: uncultured bacterium
Lineage: Bacteria
Description: partial 16S ribosomal RNA
Rfam family: Bacterial small subunit ribosomal RNA
Source: RNAcentral
UGAGCAAUCUGCCCUUCACAUCGGAAUAACCAUUGGAAACGAUGGCUAAUACCGAAUACGACUUCGGACCGCAUGGUCUGAAGUGGAAAGCUCCGGCGGUGAAGGAUGAGCUCGCGGCCUAUCAGCUUGUUGGUGAGGUAAUAGCUCACCAAGGCGAUGACGGGUAGCCGGCCUGAGAGGGUGACCGGCCACACUGGGGCUGAGACACGGCCCAGACCUCUACGGGAGG